UACGGGGGGGGCAAGCGUUGUUCGGAAUUACUGGGCGUAAAGGGCGCGUAGGCGGGCUGUCAAGUCUGGGGUGAAAUGCCGCGGCUCAACCGUGGAACUGCCUUAGAUACUGACGGCCUCGAGGAAGGUAGGGGCAUGCGGAACUGUAGGUGGAGCGGUGAAAUGCGUUGAUAUCUACAGGAACUCCGGUGGCGAAAGCGGCGUGCUGGACCUUUUCUGACGCUGAGGCGCGAAAGCUAGGGGAGCAAACGGG
RNAcentral lists this ribosomal RNA (253 nucleotides) under uncultured bacterium. RNAcentral's name for it is "partial 16S ribosomal RNA". It matches the Rfam family "Bacterial small subunit ribosomal RNA", at positions 524 to 776 of the family's 1533-position model. The record is from RNAcentral.